Molecule: ribosomal RNA, 459 nt
Filed under: uncultured bacterium
Lineage: Bacteria
Description: partial 16S ribosomal RNA
Rfam family: Bacterial small subunit ribosomal RNA
Source: RNAcentral
CCUACGGGAGGCAGCAGUGAGGAAUAUUGGUCAAUGGCCGGGAGGCUGAACCAGCCAAGUCGCGUGAGGGAAGACGGCCCUACGGGUUGUAAACCUCUUUUGUCAGGGAGCAAGGUGCAGGUCGGGACCUGCUGUGAGAGUACCUGAAGAAAAAGCAUCGGCUAACUCCGUGCCAGCAGCCGCGGUAAUACGGAGGAUGCGAGCGUUAUCCGGAUUUAUUGGGUUUAAAGGGUGCGCAGGCGGAGGCACAAGUCAGCGGUAAAAUCGCGGGGCUCAACCCAGCUCCGCCGUUGAAACUGUGUGCCUUGAGUGCGCGAAGGGUAGGCGGAAUGCGUGGUGUAGCGGUGAAAUGCAUAGAUAGCACGCAGAACUCCGAUCGCGAAGGCAGCCUACCGGCGCGCAACUGACGCUCAUGCACGAAAGCGUGGGUAUCGAACAGGAGUAGAUACCCCAGUAGUC